CGAGGGCGCUGGACAGUCGCGGGGACAAGGCGAAAGCCUGUUCAUGAGGAAAGUCCGGGCUCCAUAGGGCGAGGAUAGCGGGUAACGCCCGCCGAAGGCGACUUCAGGAAAAGUGCAACAGAGAUAUACCGCCGCGGUCUCGCGGUAAGGGUGGAAAGGCGAGGUAAGAGCUCACCCGACGGCGUGUGAAAGCGACCGUCGCUGUAAACUCUAUCCGGAGCAACACCGGUAUGGGAGCAUACAGGCCGGCCCGGCCGCUCCCGAGGUGGCUGGAGCGCACCGGCGACGGUGCGCGUAGAUAGAUGACUGUCGAAACAGAACCCGGCUUACAGGCGCGCUCGCACG
Non-coding RNA from Firmicutes bacterium CAG:176_59_8, 345 nucleotides. The record is from Rfam. NCBI's taxonomy places the organism in Bacteria, Bacillati, Bacillota.